AACCUCACUUUCCACAUUUUUUCUUCCACAGAUACCACUCCCACCUUCUCCCGAAUAAUAUCAUUCCUAACCCUGUCAGCCCUUGUGAAACUACAUAUCCAACGCAACAUCCUUAUUUCUGCCACUUUCAACUUCUAGAUAUGAGAAUUCUUAACCGGCCAACACUCCGCUCCAUACAACAUAAAAGGUUGGAUUGCAAUUCUAUAGAAUUUG
RNAcentral lists this long non-coding RNA (213 nucleotides) under Capsicum annuum. Its description in RNAcentral is "long non-coding RNA (CANN_LNC002942)". Lineage: Eukaryota; Viridiplantae; Streptophyta; Magnoliopsida; Solanales; Solanaceae. The record is from RNAcentral.